CUACGGGCUGCUGCAGUGAGGAAUAUUGGUCAAUGGGCGAGAGCCUGAACCAGCCAUCCCGCGUGCAGGAUGACGGCCCUAUGGGUUGUAAACUGCUUUUCUACUAGAAGAAACCUGAUUACGUGUAAUCAGUUGCCGGUAUAGUAGGAAUAAGCAUCGGCUAACUCCGUGCCAGCAGCCGCGGCAAUACGGAGGAUGCAAGCGUUAUCCGGAUUCAUUGGGUUUAAAGGGUGCGCAGGUUGGCUUUUAAGUCAGUGGUGAAAUGCUGCCGCUUAACGGUAGAAUUGCCAUUGAUACUGAGAGUCUUGAAUAUGGUUGAGGUAGGCGGAAUGUGUUGUGUAGCGGUGAAAUGCAUAGAUAUGACACAGAACACCGAUUGCGAAGGCAGCUUACUAAGCCAUUAUUGACGCUGAGGCACGAAAGCGUGGGGAGCGAACAGGAUUAGAUACCCCCGUAGUC
This 459-nucleotide ribosomal RNA is filed under the name uncultured bacterium. Its description in RNAcentral is "partial 16S ribosomal RNA". It matches the Rfam family "Bacterial small subunit ribosomal RNA", at positions 339 to 795 of the family's 1533-position model. The record is from RNAcentral.